AAAUCGCCUUGCGUCAGUAUACGGCAGACGCCUGGGAAAAUCUGUGGAAAAAAAAAAAAAAAGAUUUUUGUUACGUAAUUACGACAAGCUGUUGCUGCUUAUUAAAAGGAAAUCAUUUCUGCUCCUGUGAUGCAUCACCCUCCACUGUAGGCAUUUCCUCUUGGAAAAUGCGUUAAGACAGAUGCCCGUCCUGUGUUCACACCGCGCUCUGAACGCACAGGCCAACUCGGCAUUUCUCUACUUUCAUUUGCUGAUUCCAGUUCCUCUUCAUGUUGUAGGUUUGGGCAUACAUUUUACAAUGUUCACAAUAGAACAGAUCUUAAGAAUAAGGAAUAGGCUGCAUGGCCCCUCAACUCUAUUCUCUUCUCAGAAGAUUGAAAAAGCCUCAUUAAUUUUCAAGCUGCAAGGUAGAAAGGUGCAGCACCUAAGCAACAGCAUCAGAAAGAGAAGAUGAAAAUGGUGGUCCUGGAGACUGAGGAAGGAG
This 484-nucleotide long non-coding RNA is filed under the name Anser brachyrhynchus (Pink-footed goose). RNAcentral's name for it is "lncRNA (ENSABRG00000016888.1)". Lineage: Eukaryota; Metazoa; Chordata; Aves; Anseriformes; Anatidae. The record is from RNAcentral.